AGCCUUUAGCACUACUAAUAUUAAAGGUGAUGCCUGCCCAGUGAUUCAUUAAACGGCCGCGGGAUCCUCCACCGUGCAAAGGUAGCAUAAUCACUUGUCCCCUAAAUAGAGACUAGUAUGAACGGCCACAUGAGGAUUUUCCUGUCUCUUGUAGCCCAUCAAUGAAACUGAUCUUUCAGUACAAAAGCUGAAAUAAUACCACAAGACGAAAAGACCCUGUGGAACUUAAACCGGAAAUCACCCAUUAUGAUUUCACCCGCUUUUAGUUGGGGCAACUAUGGAACAAAACAAAACUUCCACAAUCAACCCCAGGUAGACACACCCACUUCACCUUCCUCCUGACCCAGCACAGAAUGCUGAUUAAAGAACCAAGCUACCCCAGGGAUAACAGCGCCAUCCCCUCUUAGAGCCCCCAUCGACGAGGGGGUUUACGACCUCGAUGUUGGAUCAGGGCCCCCAAACAGUGCAGCAGCUGUUUAUGGNUUGUUUGUUCAACAAUUAAUGG
RNAcentral lists this ribosomal RNA (505 nucleotides) under Arthrosaura aff. reticulata ROM42976. RNAcentral describes it as "partial 16S ribosomal RNA". It matches the Rfam family "Bacterial large subunit ribosomal RNA", at positions 1816 to 2594 of the family's 2925-position model. Lineage: Eukaryota; Metazoa; Chordata; Lepidosauria; Squamata; Gymnophthalmidae. The record is from RNAcentral.